RNAcentral lists this ribosomal RNA (478 nucleotides) under uncultured bacterium. RNAcentral's name for it is "partial 16S ribosomal RNA". It matches the Rfam family "Bacterial small subunit ribosomal RNA", at positions 28 to 507 of the family's 1533-position model. The record is from RNAcentral.
GAUGAACGCUGGCGGCGUGCUUAACACAUGCAAGUCGAACGAGAAGUGGAGACGGAAAUCUUCGGGCGGAAGACUUUAUUUCGAGUGGCGGACGGGUGAGUAACGCGUGGGUAACCUGCCUCAUACAGGGGGAUAACAGUUGGAAACGACUGUUAAUACCGCAUAAGACCACAGCACCGCAUGGUGCGGGGGUAAAAACUCCGGUGGUAUGAGAUGGACCCGCGUUCGAUUAGCCAGUUGGCGGGGUAACGGCCCACCAAAGCGACGAUCGAUAGCCGAUCUGAGAGGAUGACCGGCCACAUUGGGACUGAGACACGGCCCAAACUCCUACGGGAGGCAGCAGUGGGGAAUAUUGCACAAUGGGGGAAACCCUGAUGCAGCGACGCCGCGUGAGUGAAGAAGUAUUUCGGUAUGUAAAGCUCUAUCAGCAGGGAAGAAAAUGACGGUACCUGAGUAAGAAGCCCCGGCUAACUACGUG